RNAcentral lists this transfer RNA (76 nucleotides) under Thiosulfativibrio zosterae. RNAcentral's name for it is "tRNA-Trp". It matches the Rfam family "tRNA". From Rfam's summary of the family: Transfer RNA (tRNA) molecules are approximately 80 nucleotides in length. Their secondary structure includes four short double-helical elements and three loops (D, anti-codon, and T loops). Lineage: Bacteria; Pseudomonadati; Pseudomonadota; Gammaproteobacteria; Thiotrichales; Piscirickettsiaceae. The record is from RNAcentral.
AGGGGUGUAGCUCCAACGGUAGAGCAGCGGAUUCCAAAUCCGCGUGUUGGGAGUUCGAAUCUCUCCACCCCUGCCA